Molecule: ribosomal RNA, 639 nt
Filed under: Triticum aestivum (bread wheat)
Lineage: Eukaryota; Viridiplantae; Streptophyta; Magnoliopsida; Poales; Poaceae
Description: partial small subunit ribosomal RNA
Source: RNAcentral
AUGGUGCGGAUGAUGAAGCCGAAGAAGGACGGCGCGCCGCCCGCUUUCGUGCACGACCUGCCGCACCACGGGACGACGGCGGCUCCUUGCCGCCAGCGCACUGAAGAGGAGCGCGACGCGUCCAUCAUCUGCCAUGUCCACCACGCCCUCCGCCACUACAACGCCACCAACCCGGGCUCGGAGAAGAAGAUCGCCAGCAGCAAACGGAGGCGCAACCAGGCCAACGACGCGGACAAGACCUUCUUCGCCGAGCUGCGCUACAGCCACCACCACUCAGGCGCGCCGGCCGUUGAAACAUGCGCCAUCAUCGAGAAAUCGUCGCGCAAAAGUCACUUGAAGACCGCGUGUGCAUUUUGCCCCGAGAGCUUUCAGAUUUUGCACCCACUUGACGGGAGCUUCAUGUGCGGAAAGAAGUGCCAGGCAAACGAAGGCCAGGGUUUCAUAUAUUUCACGAACCUGCUUGAGUUACUGUUCACAUGCCCCACGGCCAGUGGACCCGGCAAGGAGGAUGCAGCAGCGCCAAAGAAGGAGGAGGAGGAGCAUAGUAGCGUCCUGAGCUGGGCCGCCCUCCCCUUUCAUUUUCUCGGUAAUCUUAUUACAAGGGUUUUACCGGCCUUUGAUGAUAAGCAUAUGGACUAG